CAUGCAAGUCGAACGGCAGCACGGACUUCGGUCUGGUGGCGAGUGGCGAACGGGUGAGUAAUGUAUCGGAACGUGCCUAGUAGCGGGGGAUAACUACGCGAAAGCGUAGCUAAUACCGCAUACGCCCUACGGGGGAAAGCAGGGGAUCGCAAGACCUUGCACUAUUAGAGCGGCCGAUAUCGGAUUAGCUAGUUGGUGGGGUAAUGGCUCACCAAGGCGACGAUCCGUAGCUGGUUUGAGAGGACGACCAGCCACACUGGGACUGAGACACGGCCCAGACUCCUACGGGAGGCAGCAGUGGGGAAUUUUGGACAAUGGGGGAAACCCUGAUCCAGCCAUCCCGCGUGUGCGAUGAAGGCCUUCGGGUUGUAAAGCACUUUUGGCAGGAAAGAAACGUCAUGGGCUAAUACCCCGUGAAACUGACGGUACCUGCAGAAUAAACACCGGCUAACUACUGCCAC
RNAcentral lists this ribosomal RNA (461 nucleotides) under Achromobacter piechaudii. RNAcentral's name for it is "bacterial SSU rRNA". It matches the Rfam family "Bacterial small subunit ribosomal RNA", at positions 54 to 511 of the family's 1533-position model. The record is from RNAcentral. Lineage: Bacteria; Pseudomonadati; Pseudomonadota; Betaproteobacteria; Burkholderiales; Alcaligenaceae.